This 164-nucleotide ribosomal RNA is filed under the name uncultured bacterium. RNAcentral describes it as "partial 16S ribosomal RNA". It matches the Rfam family "Bacterial small subunit ribosomal RNA", at positions 355 to 511 of the family's 1533-position model. The record is from RNAcentral.
UAGGGAAUCUUCCACAAUGGACGAAAGUCUGAUGGAGCAACGCCGCGUGAGUGAAGAAGGGUUUCGGCUCGUAAAACUCUGUUGUUAAAGAAGAACAUAUCUGAGAGUAACUGUUCAGGUAUUGACGGUAUUUAACCAGAAAGUCACGGCUAACUACGNGCCAG